CCUACGGGUGGCAGCAGUGAGGAAUAUUGGUCAAUGGCCGGAAGGCUGAACCAGCCAAGUCGCGUGAGGGACGACUGCCCUAUGGGUUGUAAACCUCUUUUAUAAGGGAAGAAUAAAUGCUACGUGUAGCAUGAUGCCUGUACCUUAUGAAUAAGCAUCGGCUAACUCCGUGCCAGCAGCCGCGGUAAUACGGAGGAUGCGAGCGUUAUCCGGAUUUAUUGGGUUUAAAGGGUGCGUAGGCGGUUUUUUAAGUUAGUGGUUAAACGUCGGGGCUUCACCUUGAUUUGCCAUUAAUACUGUAAGACUCGAGUUCAGACGAGGUAGGCGGAAUAAGUUAAGUAGCGGUGAAAUGCUUAGAUAUCACGCAGAACUCCGAUUGCGAAGGCAGCAUACCGGCGCCCAACUGACGCUGAAGCACGAAAGCGUGGGUAUCGAACAGGAUUAGAUACCCCGGUAGUC
This 459-nucleotide ribosomal RNA is filed under the name uncultured bacterium. RNAcentral describes it as "partial 16S ribosomal RNA". It matches the Rfam family "Bacterial small subunit ribosomal RNA", at positions 338 to 795 of the family's 1533-position model. The record is from RNAcentral.